Molecule: ribosomal RNA, 170 nt
Filed under: uncultured archaeon
Lineage: Archaea
Description: partial 16S ribosomal RNA
Rfam family: Archaeal small subunit ribosomal RNA
Source: RNAcentral
UAGGAGGCGGGAGAGGCGGACGGUACUCCGCGGGUAGGGGUAAAAUCCUUUGAUCCGCGGAAGACCACCAGUGGCGAAGGCGGUCCGCCAGAACGCGCUCGACGGUGAGGGGUGAAAGCUGGGGGAGCGAACCGGAUUAGAUACCCGGGUAGUCCCAGCCGUAAACGAUG